RNAcentral lists this ribosomal RNA (497 nucleotides) under uncultured bacterium. RNAcentral's name for it is "partial 16S ribosomal RNA". It matches the Rfam family "Bacterial small subunit ribosomal RNA", at positions 28 to 507 of the family's 1533-position model. The record is from RNAcentral.
GAUGAACGCUGGCGGCGUGCCUAAUACAUGCAAGUCGAGCGAACAGACGAGGAGCUUGCUCCUCUGACGUUAGCGGCGGACGGGUGAGUAACACGUGGAUAACCUACCUAUAAGACUGGGAUAACUUCGGGAAACCGGAGCUAAUACCGGAUAACAUGUUGAACCGCAUGGUUCAACAGUGAAAGACGGUCUUUCUGUCACUUAUAGAUGGAUCCGCGCCGCAUUAGCUAGUUGGUAAGGUAACGGCUUACCAAGGCGACGAUGCGUAGCCGACCUGAGAGGGUGAUCGGCCACACUGGAACUGAGACACGGUCCAGACUCCUACGGGAGGCAGCAGUAGGGAAUCUGCCGCAAUGGGCGAAAGCCUGACGGAGCAACGCCGCGUGAGUGAAGAAGGUCUUCGGAUCGUAAAACUCUGUUAUUAGGGAAGAACAAAUGUGUAAGUAACUAUGCACGUCGUGACGGUACCUAAUCAGAAAGCCACGGCUAACUACGUG